GAUGAACGCUGGCGGCGUGCCUAAUACAUGCAAGUCGAGCGAACAGACGAGGAGCUUGCUCCUCUGACGUUAGCGGCGGACGGGUGAGUAACACGUGGAUAACCUACCUAUAAGACUGGGAUAACUUCGGGAAACCGGAGCUAAUACCGGAUAAUAUAUUGAACCGCAUGGUUCAAUAGUGAAAGACGGUUUUGCUGUCACUUAUAGAUGGAUCCGCGCCGCAUUAGCUAGUUGGUAAGGUAACGGCUUACCAAGGCAACGAUGCGUAGCCGACAUGAGAGGGUGAUCGGCCACACUGGAACUGAGACACGGUCCAGACUCCUACGGGAGGCAGCAGUAGGGAAUCUUCCGCAAUGGGCGAAAGCUUGACGGAGCAACGCCGCGUGAGUGAUGAAGGUCUUCGGAUCGUAAAACUCUGUUAUUAGGGAAGAACAAAUGUGUAAGUAACUAUGCACGUCUUGACGGUACCUAAUCAGAAAGCCACGGCUAACUACGU
RNAcentral lists this ribosomal RNA (496 nucleotides) under uncultured bacterium. RNAcentral describes it as "partial 16S ribosomal RNA". It matches the Rfam family "Bacterial small subunit ribosomal RNA", at positions 28 to 506 of the family's 1533-position model. The record is from RNAcentral.